RNAcentral lists this ribosomal RNA (1372 nucleotides) under uncultured bacterium. RNAcentral describes it as "16S ribosomal RNA". It matches the Rfam family "Bacterial small subunit ribosomal RNA", at positions 30 to 1393 of the family's 1533-position model. The record is from RNAcentral.
UGAACGCUGGCGGUAUGCUUAACACAUGCAAGUCGAACGGAAACGAUACUAGCUUGCUAGUAGGCGUCGAGUGGCGGACGGGUGAGUAACGCGUAGGAAUCUGCCUGAUAGUGGGGGAUAGCCCGAAGAAAUUCGGAUUAAUACCGCAUAAUCUAUUCGUAGUAAAGUGGGGGACUUUCGAGCCUCACGCUAUCAGAUGAGCCUGCGUAAGAUUAGCUUGUUGGUAGGGUAAAAGCCUACCAAGGCGACGAUCUUUAGCUGGUCUGAGAGGAUGAUCAGCCACAUCGGGACUGAGACACGGCCCGAACUCCUACGGGAGGCAGCAGUGGGGAAUAUUGGACAAUGGGGGCAACCCUGAUCCAGCAAUACCGCGUGUGUGAAGAAGGCCUGAGGGUUGUAAAGCACUUUCAAUUGUGAAGAAAAGUUAGCGGUUAAUAACCGUUAGCCUUGACGUUAACUUUAGAAGAAGCACCGGCUAACUCCGUGCCAGCAGCCGCGGUAAUACGGAGGGUGCAAGCGUUAAUCGGAAUUACUGGGCGUAAAGCGUGCGUAGGUGGUUUAUUAAGUCAGAUGUGAAAGCCCCGGGCUUAACCUGGGAACUGCAUUUGAAACUGGUCAACUAGAGUAUGGUAGAGGAAAGUGGAAUUUCUGGUGUAGCGGUGAAAUGCGUAGAUAUCAGAAGGAACAUCAAUGGCGAAGGCAGCUUUCUGGACCAAUACUGACACUGAGGUACGAAAGCGUGGGUAGCAAACAGGAUUAGAUACCCUGGUAGUCCACGCCGUAAACGAUGAUAACUAGCCGUUGGGGGGAUUUACCCUUUAGUGGCGAAGCUAACGCGUUAAGUUAUCCGCCUGGGGAGUACGGCCGCAAGGUUAAAACUCAAAGGAAUUGACGGGGACCCGCACAAGCGGUGGAGCAUGUGGUUUAAUUCGAUGCAACGCGAAGAACCUUACCUGGUCUUGACAUCCUGCGAACUUUCUAGAAAUAGAUUGGUGCCUUCGGGAACGCAGUGACAGGUGCUGCAUGGCUGUCGUCAGCUCGUGUCGUGAGAUGUUGGGUUAAGUCCCGUAACGAGCGCAACCCCUAUCCUUAUUUGCCAGCACAUCAUGGUGGGAACUAUAAGGAGACUGCCGGUGAUAAACCGGAGGAAGGCGGGGACGACGUCAAGUCAUCAUGGCCCUUACGACCAGGGCUACACACGUGCUACAAUGGGAAGGACAAAGAGCCGCGAAGCCGCGAGGUGUAGCUAAUCUCAUAAACCUUUUCGUAGUCCGGAUUGGAGUCUGCAACUCGACUCCAUGAAGUCGGAAUCGCUAGUAAUCGUAGAUCAGAAUGCUACGGUGAAUACGUUCCCGGGUCUUGUACACACCGC